This 240-nucleotide unclassified non-coding RNA is filed under the name soil metagenome. RNAcentral describes it as "partial contains 5.8S ribosomal RNA, internal transcribed spacer 2, and large subunit ribosomal RNA". The record is from RNAcentral.
AACGCACGAGACCUGCGGACCUGCGGAGGGAUCAUUACCGAGUUGUCACCGACUCCCAAACCCCUGCGAACCAUACCACCCGUUGCUUCGGCGGACCGCCCCGGCGCCCCCCGACCGCCGCCCCCCCCCCAGCGGGGGGGCGAGGCGGGAGGCCCGGACCCAGGCGCCCGCCGGGGGACACAGACUCGUGCCUUCGCCGCCGGCGGAACACCCCCUCUGAGUGACAGACGAAAUGAAUCA